CAGAGGAGAGACAAAUGCUAACAAAGAAAGCAGCAACUGGUAUUGCAGUCAUCAAUGUAUCACCACAGCAUUUGGAUAUCUUAUUGGAGUCAUUUAGCUUUGGCUAGGUGACUUCUGCUUUCGCAGGACUCACACCUUCAUGACUCUGCAGUGUUAAUCUCAGCGGUUAGCUGAGUAGUCAUGUUUAUUCACCUUCAAAGUGGAUGAAACCGAUUGAGGUGGAUAAUAAGAUCGUCGUUUCUGAGAGUGUGAUUUACUCUGAUUCUGCCAGUCAUUCACCCCCCUUUGGCGGUGUCGAUGGUUUUUCCUUUGUCUGGGACAAAACCCACCGUGACGGGAGUCUGAAUAACAACAGUUGGUCUCAAAGUUUACCCGGCAUUGAUCUGAGUCAGACCUGGGCCUUGGUGUGUAACUUUGACCUUUGUGAGUGUGUUGAGGUCGAAAAGGUUUUGGAGGCCUGGUUAACCACUCAAUUGGAGGCUUAUCGGAGCCUGAAAAUACACAAUCUGAAGCUUCGUUCAGCUCCAUGGGCAGUGAUUUUGUCUCCA
Xyrichtys novacula (pearly razorfish) is the source of this 548-nucleotide non-coding RNA. Lineage: Eukaryota; Metazoa; Chordata; Actinopteri; Labriformes; Labridae. The record is from the annotation of a GenBank genome assembly.